RNAcentral lists this transfer RNA (73 nucleotides) under Capra hircus (goat). It matches the Rfam family "tRNA". Rfam says of the family: Transfer RNA (tRNA) molecules are approximately 80 nucleotides in length. Their secondary structure includes four short double-helical elements and three loops (D, anti-codon, and T loops). RNAcentral also lists the same sequence under 1 other name. Lineage: Eukaryota; Metazoa; Chordata; Mammalia; Artiodactyla; Bovidae. The record is from Rfam by way of RNAcentral.
UCCCUGCUGGCUCAGUUGGGUAGGGAGUCUGCCUGCAAUGUAGGAGACCUGGGUUCAGUCCCUGGGUUGGGAA